GGAGAGAUGGCCGAGCGGCUUAAGGCGCACGCUUGGAAAGCGUGUGUACCGAAAGGUACCGUGGGUUCGAAUCCCACUCUCUCCGCCA
RNAcentral lists this transfer RNA (88 nucleotides) under Deltaproteobacteria bacterium. RNAcentral's name for it is "tRNA-Ser". It matches the Rfam family "tRNA". Rfam says of the family: Transfer RNA (tRNA) molecules are approximately 80 nucleotides in length. Their secondary structure includes four short double-helical elements and three loops (D, anti-codon, and T loops). The record is from RNAcentral. RNAcentral also lists the same sequence under 4 other names. Lineage: Bacteria; Pseudomonadati; Myxococcota; Myxococcia.